AUGACGUCACAAGCGGUACAAAGAGCACGACCAUUAAUUACGCAUAUAUGCGUAGUUGGUAUUCAAAGGGUUAAAGCAAAGAACAGAUGAAUUGAUUGCAGGUUUGACUGAAGGAGUGAAAAUAUAAUUUCACUAGGUUUUAAGUAAAGAAAUACACUAGCAAAUUUUCUGAUUCUAUCUGACGAGAAAUUAGUAUUUUUUAAAUAGUCCAAGCAAUGUUAGUAAUAACUGAAUCAUACAGUUAAGCUAUAUAAUAAUAUUAAAAUAAGCGUUAAAAUUAACUUGGUAAAUUCAAUUUGUGUUCUUUGUCAGUUUUUAAUUUUCUUGUGUCUGGGGUCUACAUUAUAUUGCUUUUAAUAUGGAUUUUUCUUGUUUUUGCAGACACGCUGAGGACCAAGAAUUAGAUAUACUUGAUGCACAUCCAGUACUGUGAUGUUUUGUUUAUUGGAUCUUGCUGGCAUAUUACAUCACUUUGGCAUGUUCUGAGGCUGCUUAUGUUAUUUUUCGCAACUAGUAUCAAACUGAUUGUUUGUCACUCCUUGAAAUACGUUUUAUGGUGACUAGGUCAUUUCAUAACGUAUGUGGAAUUCCUAUCUGUGU
Molecule: long non-coding RNA, 600 nt
Organism: Orbicella faveolata
Lineage: Eukaryota; Metazoa; Cnidaria; Anthozoa; Scleractinia; Merulinidae
Source: RefSeq, a predicted model, not a curated record